GUCGACAAUACUUCAGAGAAUCAUUUCUAUAGUAUUCGACCUACUCUUGGUUCCCUAAAGGAGCUACAGAUCCCACCCUGGUUGAUGAUUGAUAUCCUCGACACCCUAGAGUGAAGAACUCUGGUUGCUCUCGCACCCUCCGCAAGGAGGGCGGCUUUAGACUUGUCUUUUGCUGUAUAGAGAGCGGUGAUGAUCUCGUCCCCGAUUGUGGUCUUGCCCUUGGGCGCAUGGUCGGGGUGGGUGUCGAUGGACGUCUGACAGGC
Molecule: small nucleolar RNA, 263 nt
Filed under: Colletotrichum orchidophilum
Lineage: Eukaryota; Fungi; Ascomycota; Sordariomycetes; Glomerellales; Glomerellaceae
Description: Fungal small nucleolar RNA U3
Rfam family: Fungal small nucleolar RNA U3
About the family: Small nucleolar RNAs (snoRNAs) are involved in the processing and modification of rRNA in the nucleolus. There are two main classes of snoRNAs: the box C/D class, and the box H/ACA class. U3 snoRNA is a member of the box C/D class.
Source: Rfam by way of RNAcentral